This 21-nucleotide non-coding RNA is filed under the name Xenopus tropicalis (tropical clawed frog). Lineage: Eukaryota; Metazoa; Chordata; Amphibia; Anura; Pipidae. The record is from RNAcentral.
ACCCAAAACGGGGCUCUCUCU